This 308-nucleotide long non-coding RNA is filed under the name Elaeis guineensis (African oil palm). Its description in RNAcentral is "long non-coding RNA (EGUI_LNC054882)". Lineage: Eukaryota; Viridiplantae; Streptophyta; Magnoliopsida; Arecales; Arecaceae. The record is from RNAcentral.
ACUGCCUUAUAAGGUGAGGGCGCCACAUUCACUUGACUUUUGAAGUAAGGACCUUUUCAAUUAGGUCUAGUUUUCUUAAAAUGAAAAUCAGAUUAAAAGGUAAUGACCUUAUAAGAUAAGAUCUCACCUUUUCAGCCUGAUUGGAUAAUGAUUUGAAAUCAAGAAAGGCCUAUUUAAGGAAAUGGUCUCCUAGGGUUUGAAAACAAUUGAAUUUUGAGAUUCAAAACCUCUUUCUCUCCUUGUCCACGCCAUCCCUUCUUCCUCUCUUUUCAAUGCCCAAGUGUUGGGCAUCCCAUCUUCCUACACGC